Molecule: transfer RNA, 70 nt
Filed under: Dipodomys ordii (Ord's kangaroo rat)
Lineage: Eukaryota; Metazoa; Chordata; Mammalia; Rodentia; Heteromyidae
Rfam family: tRNA
About the family: Transfer RNA (tRNA) molecules are approximately 80 nucleotides in length. Their secondary structure includes four short double-helical elements and three loops (D, anti-codon, and T loops).
Source: Rfam by way of RNAcentral
GGGAAUGUGGUUCAGUGCUAGAGCGCUUGCCUAGCAUGCAUGAAGCCCUAGGUUCAAUUCCUCAGUACCA